This 20-nucleotide ribosomal RNA is filed under the name Fomitopsis serialiformis. Its description in RNAcentral is "Antrodia serialiformis partial 28S ribosomal RNA". Lineage: Eukaryota; Fungi; Basidiomycota; Agaricomycetes; Polyporales; Fomitopsidaceae. The record is from RNAcentral.
CUUGACCUCAAAUCAGGUAG